GACGAACGCUGGCGGCGUGCUUAACACAUGCAAGUCGAACGAUGAAGCCUAGCUUGCUAGGUGGAUUAGUGGCGAACGGGUGAGUAAUACGUGAGUAACCUACCUUUAACUCUGGGAUAAGCCUGGGAAACUGGGUCUAAUACCGGAUACGACCAAUCUCCGCAUGGGGUGUUGGUGGAAAGCGUUAUGUAGUGGUUAUAGAUGGGCUCACGGCCUAUCAGCUUGUUGGUGAGGUAACGGCUCACCAAGGCGACGACGGGUAGCCGGCCUGAGAGGGUGACCGGCCACACUGGGACUGAGACACGGCCCAGACUCCUACGGGAGGCAGCAGUGGGGAAUAUUGCACAAUGGGCGCAAGCCUGAUGCAGCGACGCCGCGUGAGGGAUGACGGCCUUCGGGUUGUAAACCUCUGUUAGCAGGGAAGAAGAGAGAUUGACGGUACCUGCAGAGAAAGCGCCGGCUAACUACGUGCCAGCAGCCGCGGUAAUACGUANGGCGCGAGCGUUUGUCCGAAUUAUUGGGCGUAAAGAGCUUGUAGGCGGUUUGUCGCGUCUGCUGUGAAAGGCCGGAGCCUUCUCCGUGUAUUGCAGUGGGUACGGGCAGACUAGAGUGCAGUAGGGGAGACUGGAAUUCCUGGUGUAGCGGUGGAAUGCGCAGAUAUCAGGAGGAACACCGAUGGCGAAGGCAGGUCUCUGGGCUGUAACUGACGCUGAGAAGCGAAAGCAUGGGGAGCGAACAGGAUUAGAUACCCUGGUAGUCCAUGCCGUAAACGUUGGGCACUAGGUGUGGGGAACAUUCCACGUUUUCCGCGCCGUAGCUAACGCAUUAAGUGCCCCGCCUGGGGAGUACGGCCGCAAGGCUAAAACUCAAAGAAAUUGACGGGGGCCCGCACAAGCGGCGGAGCAUGCGGAUUAAUUCGAUGCAACGCGAAGAACCUUACCAAGGCUUGACAUAUACUGGACCGCAUCAGAGAUGGUGUUUCCCUUCGGGGCUGGUAUACAGGUGGUGCAUGGUUGUCGUCAGCUCGUGUCGUGAGAUGUUGGGUUAAGUCCCGCAACGAGCGCAACCCUCGUUCUAUGUUGCCAGCACGUUAUGGUGGGGACUCAUAGGAGACUGCCGGGGUCAACUCGGAGGAAGGUGGGGAUGACGUCAAAUCAUCAUGCCCCUUAUGUCUUGGGCUUCACGCAUGCUACAAUGGCCGGUACAGAGGGUUGCGAUACUGUGAGGUGGAGCUAAUCCCUAAAAGCCGGUCUCAGUUCGGAUUGGGGUCUGCAACUCGACCCCAUGAAGUCGGAGUCGCUAGUAAUCGCAGAUCAGCAACGCUGCGGUGAAUACGUUCCCGGGCCU
This 1347-nucleotide ribosomal RNA is filed under the name uncultured bacterium. RNAcentral describes it as "bacterial SSU rRNA". It matches the Rfam family "Bacterial small subunit ribosomal RNA", at positions 27 to 1381 of the family's 1533-position model. The record is from RNAcentral.